Molecule: long non-coding RNA, 1990 nt
Organism: Schistocerca cancellata (South American locust)
Lineage: Eukaryota; Metazoa; Arthropoda; Insecta; Orthoptera; Acrididae
Exons: 3
Source: RefSeq, a predicted model, not a curated record
UAUAACCAAUCCCAGGUCAUAUGUACUACCUUCCGCCAGCCUCUCUGACAGAGGAAGCGUGUAAAGUCAGGAACUGGGAUAAGAGUGGAAAGAAUGGUGAUCUAGUUUCAGGUGCCAGAUAUCUCACCAUAAACCAUUCACCCUAGUGGACAUCGAUCAGGAGAUAUUCCUCUUGAAAAGAGAUGAUAAGUCUGAAGGAGAAUGUGACCUAGAUGCGGAAGACCUAAGAGAAGAUCAGGAUGACGAUUACUGUCAACUAAACAAUCACUCUGGAAGCAGUGAUUCAGAUUAUGCUGAAAACGUAGUUAUUCAGCCAGCAGCAGAAAAUGUAUACAUACAAGAAGAUGUCAGAAGGGACAGAUCAACACAUGCCUCCCAAGACCAUGUAAUGUGUUGCUGGGUACUGAUGGCAUCACGAAAUGGACUGUAGCAGAGUUUGGAAAGACCACAUCUGGCAGAUUGGCGAAUCUCAUCAUGAGAGAAAAUCCAGGACCUACACCAGAUUCAAAGCAGUAUGUUUCUGACGCCAGUGUAGUAAGUGCAUAGUGUCUGUUUACUGAUGAAUCAAUACUGAAAGACACUGUACGGAAACGGAGGCAAAACAUGUUCUAGGGAAUGAAUUAUGGGGUGUAAGUUUGGAGAGCUGGAGGCUUUUAUUGCCUUAUUGAAUGCUCGGUGUGUUCUUGGAGCCAACUUGAUGAACUGUGGCCUAAAAAGUGGGGCCCACCUAUGUUCAGUGAUACUAUGGGGAGAAACUGCUUUCGAGAAAUUCUAAGAUUUUUGUGCUUCGACAUUAGAAACACAAGAUCAGAAUGUUUGAAGAUAGAUAAAUUUGCUUUAGUAUCAAAAGUUUGGAACAAAUUCAUUGAAAACUGCCAUUUGACCAUGUUCCGGGUGAAAAUCUGACUGCUGAUGAACAGCUUUUUCCAAGCAAAACAAAACCAGAAAAAUUUGGCAUAAAAUUUUGGCUUCUUGUUAACAUUGACUCAAAGUUUCUGUGCAAUGGGUUCCCUUAUUUACGAAAAGACGGCCACAGAUCACGUGACCAGACUCUUCCGGAAAGAGUAGUAAUGGAGUUGAUGGAGCCGUUUCAAAAGAAGGGGCGAAACAUUGACAACGGGCAAUUUUUUUACAACAGUGAAACUGGGCGAGAAGUUGAGAACUAAUGGUACUAGCAUUUUUGGAACAAUUAGACAAUCAAGAAGAGAAAUCUCUAAUGCUGUGAAGGCAAUGGAGGCUAAUCUUUACAACUCAGGUCUCUUCAAACAUUCCAUUGGCACUAUUGCUGUAUACCAAGGCAAACAAAACAAGAAUGUGCUUUGGUAUAGCACUUUGCAUUCAGAAGUUGAACUUCAAACUGGUCCACAAAAAACUCUAGAAACAGUUUAUUUCUACAACAAUACAAAGUAUGGUGCUGAUGUGGUGGAUCAAAUGACAAGAAAAUACACUGUUCGAGCUGGUAUUUGUAGAUGGCCAGUUCAUGUAUUUUAUAAUAUUCUUGACUUGGUAAGCAUCAGUUCAUGGAUCAUUUUCAAGAAAGUAACAGGGAUGAAGAUCAUUCAUCAAAAUUAUAUCCUGAAGCUAGCAGAGGAGCUUUGUAUGGGGCACAUGGACUCGAAAAGUAACUUGAAGGAAAUAGAAGCUGAAUCUGGAAACUCUGUGGAAGGAAAUAAAAUGAGGAGACCAUGUCAAAUAAAGAAGUGUAGGAAUAACACAAUUAUAUCUGCAAAAAGUGCAAACGGCGAAUGUAUGGUUCUUGUUCAAAGGACAUAACUAAGGAUGUGGUAUGUAGUUCCUGCUGCUAAAGAUAUGCAAUACACAUCAGUGAGUGCAAAUAAACUGAAGAAAAAGACAGGCAGUGUUUUACAAAUAUUUUGUCGUAUGUGGAUUUGGCAAACAGAUUUCAUGAUUAUAAGUGCACUACCUGAAAUACUGCAUAAUUAAUUUUAUAAUAAUGAGUGCACAAUAAAUACAUCAACUUCUUUACUAA